Colius striatus (speckled mousebird) is the source of this 1923-nucleotide RNA transcript. It is a transcript of the gene named inner mitochondrial membrane peptidase subunit 1, with no coding region annotated. Lineage: Eukaryota; Metazoa; Chordata; Aves; Coliiformes; Coliidae. The record is from RefSeq and is a predicted model, not a curated record. The transcript is spliced from 7 exons.
CCGGGAAGGGCCGGGACGCCCGGUAGCGAGCAGGCAGACUAGAGCCAGCUGAACGACGUAACACUGUGCCAUGCUUCGCAAUGUCCUAGGAAAAACCUUUCGAUUUCUUGGGUAUACUGUGCAAUAUGGCUGCAUAGCACAUUGUGCCUUUGAGUACCUUGGAGGAAUUGUUGUGUGUUCUGGACCUUCAAUGGAACCAACCAUUCAAAAUUCUGAUAUUGUCUUCUCGGAGAACCUUAGCCGCCACUUUUAUUGCAUUCGAAAAGGAGAUAUUGUAAUUGUGAAAAGCCCAAAUGACCCCAAAUCAAAUAUCUGUAAAAGAGUAAUUGGCUUGGAAGGGGAUAAAGUCUGCACAAGCAACCCUUCAGAUUUCUUUAAGAGUCACAGCUAUGUGCCUAAAGGACAUGUUUGGUUAGAAGGUGAUAAUCUCAGGAAUUCUACAGAUUCCAGGUGCUAUGGACCUGUUCCUUAUGGACUGAUAAGAGGACGCAUUUGUUUUAAGGGCCCAACCAACUGAUGGCAACUUAUCAGAGUGCUGCAAGCGGCCAGACAGAGACAAGUCUAAGGAGCUUCCAGCAGUGCAUGGUCCCAGACUAGUAGUAAACUGGUGCUACAUCUUGCUGUGCCCAUCCUUAACUGCCUCUUUUGUCAUUGUCUUUAGUGCUGGGGCCAAGUCAUGGAGUUUUGAAAUAUUGGACCUUGGCACUGUGCUUCCUCUUUCAAACUGAGAAAAUUACUUUUUCACUCCAUACAGAGUGCAGCAAACACAGGGCCGUUCCAUGAACUCAGUUAAAGAGUAAGAUGCUGUUCCUGGAAGGUGACUGCAUACCUUCCUUAAGAUCACAUUCUAAGGAAAAAGAAGCAAGCUAAACAUCAAACUGAGAGAUGCUUUGAGAACAAGGAAGUGCAUCAUCCUUCUCUCUACCCAGGUUGCUUCAUCUUGAGCAGGAGCGGUGAGAUUUUUAUGGGAUUAGAGCCACAGGGAGCAUUCGUUUUUCAACAUCAUCUCCUUCUUCCUGCUGAGCCGCUUGUGCUGUCUUUGAGAGAAUGUGUUGAAGAGACACAGGGACUCAAGGGAGACAAGGGACGGAGUGUAAAAGAAUGUCCUUGAUUCCCUAUUAUUUUUUUUUGCAUUCAAGACUAGCCUACAUGUAAUUAGUGAGUGCGCAGAGGAAAGUACUCCUGGGAACACUGAGGAAUAUGAACAGUUAUUUAGUUAAUUUCUGGAGAGAAAGGGUUUUUUCUUACUGGCAAGCACCAUUCCCUGACAGUCAUGGAUUUGUGCUCCUUUUUCUCCAUAUCAGUCCUCUUCUCUGAGGAGACCUGUGGUUGAGGGCCCCUGAUAGUUUCAGGCAUUCCACGCCUUUAUAUCUAUUUGCAUGGUCUAAGCUUACUUAUAAGCCCAAGAUUUUUUUCCCAAGAUUUUAUGUUUGCAGUUGAAAUACCCAUCUUGAGAACACAAAUGUACACCUCACAGAACUACUGCCACUGGGAAGGAAUGUUUGUGGUGGUAUUUCUUGUCCUGAAUGGAUCAAAAAGAUAUACUUUGUCUUUCAAGUGGAGGGCUUUAGGAGCUAGAAAGCUUUGAAUUUGAAAGAUACUUUCUAGGAAUGUAUUUACUUCCAAGGCUGAAAAAAAGUGAUUUGGGAGGCUGUCCAUAGCAAAGCAUGCUGUGUAUAAAUUAGUGUUGUCUCUUGCCACUAUGGAAUGGUGAUUCUUUCUGAGAGAAUUUAUUACUCUGAGGAAAAGACACACACAGAUAUGGCCUCUGAAUGACUUUGGAUUUCUUCGUGCAAGCCCUAAUAGCCAUAGAUUCCUUGAUGACUAAAACAUUUAAAUGACUGUUACCAGCUUUCAUAAUAUUUUCUACUAAAAACAAUGGAACUAUUUUUGUUUAGAAUAAAUGCAAGUAUUACUUGACAA